Molecule: ribosomal RNA, 513 nt
Filed under: uncultured bacterium
Lineage: Bacteria
Description: partial 16S ribosomal RNA
Rfam family: Bacterial small subunit ribosomal RNA
Source: RNAcentral
GACGAACGCUGGCGGCAUGCCUAAUACAUGCAAGUCGAGCGGACAGAUGAAGUGCUUGCACUUCUGACGUUAGCGGCGAACGGGUGAGUAACCCGUAAGUAAUCUACCUAUAAGCGGGGGAUAACAUUCGGAAACGGGUGCUAAUACCGCAUAAUAUCUUCUUCCGCAUGGAAGAAGAUUGAAAGACGGCUCUGCUGUCACUUAUAGAUGACCUUGCGGUGCAUUAGUUAGUUGGUGGGGUAAUGGCCUACCAAGACGAUGAUGCAUAGCCGACCUGAGAGGGUGAUCGGCCACGUUGGGACUGAGACACGGCCCAAACUCCUACGGAAGGGAGCAGUAGGGAAUCUUCCGAAAUGGGCGAAAGCCUGACGGAGCAAUGCCGCGUGAGUGAAGAAGGCCUUCGGGUCGUAAAACUCUGUUGUAAGAGAAGAACAAAUUGUAGAGUAACUGCUACAGUCUUGACGGUAUCUUAUCAGAAAGCCACGGCUAACUACGUGCCAGCCGCCGCCGUAA